AAAUGGAACGCGCCCCACGCGCCAAGAGUUUGGCGUUCUGGGCUCUAGUCGGUGGAUUGCUUGGUGGCCGCCAUGGCCAAUUUCAUGGAUUUCAUUCCUAUCCUUGAUCUGCAUUUGGCGUUCGCGGCAUCGGAUGACGAAUCUCACAGCUUGCUAUUGGUCUUCUCCUGCACCCUUGGAAUGGGUGACCCUGGUGUUUCAAAACUUAGUGUCUUUCGCUUUGUGUUCUUACGGCAACGAGAGAAAAAUGCUAAAGUUAAAUCACGAAUUGCUUAAGAUGUACAGUGAUGAGGAACUUUACUGGGCUCAAAAAGCAAGAGCUAAUUGGCUUAGCUUGGGAGAUAAAAAUACUAUAUUCUUUCAGACUCGAGCUAAUAUAAGGAAGAAAAAGACUUUUGUUACAAAAGUUAAAGAUGAGUCUGGUGUUUGGUUAAAUAGUCAAGAACAUAUUGCUAAAUAUUUUGUGCAUAACUUUAAAAGGAGAUUCUCCUUAGAUCUUUGUCCGAAUAUGAACUCUAUGAUGACUUUUUUGGAUUGUUUGUCUCCUGGUAUCUCUACUGAUGAUAACUCCUUGCUUACUCAACAGGUGAAUGACACUGAAAUUUUGGAAGCUUUAAAUUCAAUUGGCCCCUUGAAAGCACCUGGACGGCUGGACCGGAUGGACUACAUGCCAUAUUCUACCAAAAGUGCUGGACUGAGGAACCAUAAUUCGGGGCUUGUUGGAUUUUCUACUCAAAACCCUCUUGCCAUAAUUAAAUGGCAUCCACCACCCCCGAAUUUUUGCAAAUUAAACUUUGAUGGCUCUGUUAACCAUAUGAACUCGGCUGCUACUGGCUUUAUUAUCAUAGAUGAUAAAGGUCAGUUUGUAGUUGCCGGUGUGAAAAGAGUUGGUUCCUCAAGUAUUCCAACAGUUGAAGUUGCUCCUUUAAGAGAAGGACUUCUAAAAAGCAAGAGAGAAGCACAUCAAGAAGCGUCCUUCGCCGCCUCCUUGGCUUUGGCUAACGGUGGAAAAGUGCCAGAUUUGGGGAAGAUAGGAGGAGGUCCUAAGAUUCAAGUCGCACUUUGGCCGUGCUUGGGUGGUGCAGUGGAAUUUCUGAAUUCAGGAGAGCGUGAUCUCCUCCUCGUCUCCUUCGAAUCUGAGAAGGAUCGAAAAAAAGUUCUAAAGGGUGGCGCAUGGUGCUUUGACCACGUACGUGUUUGUCUUGAGGUGUAUGAUGGGAUUACUCCUAUGGCCGACGUUCUUAUACGUCAUGUGAGGAUGUGGGUGAUCGUCUCUUUGAUCCCCCCUCGGUACGAGGAGUGUGAUAACCUUCGUUUGAUUGGUAACCUUCUUGGAGGAUACUUGGAUUAUGAUCAUACAAUUCAAAAGGGAGUGAUGAAGAUCUUGUUUACCCACGACAUCUAUAAACCAGUUCUUUUAGAGAGGCAGGUUCAUCUGGAUCUAAGGGUGGAGCCGAUGUUAAAGUUUGAUUUUGUACAUCUUCUGGGUAGAUGUUAUGUCUGCAAUAUGAUCACACGUGCUGGAGAAAAGUGUGAUGGAACUCAUACCAUCUUAGGUACAUCCAAAGGCAUUAAUUUUGGUGCUCAGCCAAAACUAGGUUAUGCCUUUUUGGCAAAGCCCAUCGCUGGUUUGGUCGACACAAGUGGGAAUGAUGAGCCUCUUGUGACCCUGAAGAAGAAGUUGGGUGGUCGUCUGGGUAGCAGGAAUAAGGAAUCUCGGUCUACCAAAAAGACAGAGGCUCCUCUGCAUAUUACUUACCUGAUUGCUGCCAAGGUGGGUGACAAGGCAAGCCCUAAUGCCAAGGGCAAGGCCAUAGAGACAUCAAAUUGUGUUCAAAAACCUAUUCUAGUGGUAGAUGAAUACCCUGAUGUAUUUUCAGAAGACUUGUUUGGAGUACCUCUUGAAAGGGAAGUAAAGUUUCACAUUGAUCUUGGUACCUCGAACCACACAAAUAUCAAUGCCUGCUUACGAAUGGCUUUAACAGAAUUAAGAGAGCUCAGAGCACAACUAGAUGAUUUAGAGAAGAAGGGUUUCAUCCGUACAAGUAGUUCACCUUGGGGAGCACCUGUUUUGUUUGCUAGGAAGCAUGAUGGAACAUUGAGGCUAUGUGUGGAUUAUCAAAGGUUGAACAAGGUUACCAUAAAGAACAAGUAUCCAUUACCACAGAUUGAUGAAUUAUUUGACCAACUUUCUAGGGCCAAGUACUUCUCCAAGAUCGACAUGAAAUCAGACUACCAUUAGCUACAAGUUAGAGAAGAGAAUAUUCCUAAGACUACAUUUCAAACACGGUACAAGCAUUUUGGAAUUUGUUGUCAUGCUGUUUGGAAUGACCAAUGCAGCUACAUCAUUCAUAGACCCCAAUGCACCUGCAUCAUUCAUAGACCUCAUGAACUGAAUUUUUCAACCGUACUUAGACCAUUUUGUGAUCGUUUUCAUUGAUGACAUCCUAAUGUAUUCUAAGAUGGCAGAGGAGCAUGAUGAGCAUCUGCGAAUUGUUCUGCAAAAACGUUGCUGGAGAUCCAAUUGUAUGUUAAGAAAUCAAAGUGUGAAUUUUGGUUGUCUGAAGUACGAUUUCUUAGGCAUGUCAUAUCUAGUGAUGGUACAUAUGAUCCUAGUAAGGUGGAGAUAGUUCUAAACUGGAAACGACCAAAGAAUGUCUCUGAGAAGAUAAGUUUCCUUCGAUUAGUCGGAUAUUACCGACGCUUCAUCAACAAUUUUUCUAAGAUUGCUUCUCCAUUGAUUCGUUUAAAUCGAAAAGGAGUAAAAUUCGAGUGAAACGAUAAAUGUGAGUUAGCAUUUGAGGAACUCAAAAAAAGACUGACAACUGCUCCAUUACUUAUCCUACCUAACAAUGAAGAUCCAUUUGAGAUAUACACUAAUGCUUCAGCUCAAGGACUUAGGUCUGUGUUGAUGCAAAGAGAUUUGAACCUGAGGCUGAGGCGAUGGAUGGAAUACUAGAAGGAUUAUGACUUCGACUUUGUUGGGUUUCCAACCCAUAGAAGGAAGGAGGCAUUAUUGCCUACCACUAAUAGGAUUGAAUUUCCUAUUUGGUGA
This is an RNA transcript of Fragaria vesca subsp. vesca, 3055 nucleotides long. RefSeq lists it as uncharacterized. The record is from RefSeq and is a predicted model, not a curated record. Lineage: Eukaryota; Viridiplantae; Streptophyta; Magnoliopsida; Rosales; Rosaceae. The transcript has 9 exons.